Long non-coding RNA from Cydia pomonella (codling moth), 309 nucleotides. RefSeq lists it as uncharacterized. The record is from RefSeq and is a predicted model, not a curated record. Lineage: Eukaryota; Metazoa; Arthropoda; Insecta; Lepidoptera; Tortricidae. The transcript has 2 exons.
AAAAUACCUAUUUGCAAACGGACUAUGCUGGAGAAAAUAAUGUUUGAAUCAAAUCAUUGCUUCCGCAGCAAACUUAGAAGACAAAUAGGGAGCAAAGAGAACAUGAGCACCACGGUAGAAAGCUGUUUUUAACAUCAGUUCAGAAACUGAAGAAGCCCAAAGAAAAUAAUUAUGCCACUUGUUAAUUGUAAAUUAGUGUAUUUCUCUUGAACAAUGUCACAUUCACAUACCAGUGUAAUUUUGAAAUGGUUUUACAAUAUACUUAUAUAAAUAUACAGAUUAAAAAUAAAUAAAACACAACUGCAGAUA